CUUCUAUUGGUUACUUUUCUGAAUUGAUCUGUGAUUUUUUUUUUUCUAAAUAUGUGGAGUUUAGAGUUGUCUUCAUAACAAAAUCAUUUCUCCAUCGAAUUCAUUCUGUAGCCUUUUUCUGAACAAGUACACAAAUUCACUUUUCUUUAACCCCUUAAGGACCAAACUUCUGGAAUAAAAGGGAAUCGUGACAUGUCACACAUGUCAUGUGUCCUUAAGGGGUUAAACUAUAUACACAACACCGAAACCAAGCUGCACAAUACUAAUAAAAAACUUCAGUGUAUUGCCGUUCAGAAAAAUUUACUCAUCGAAGAAACAAAGAGACGUCAACAUUUG
Molecule: non-coding RNA, 336 nt
Organism: Pelobates cultripes (western spadefoot toad)
Lineage: Eukaryota; Metazoa; Chordata; Amphibia; Anura; Pelobatidae
Source: the annotation of a GenBank genome assembly